UUCGGCGGCUAUGUCGCGGGGGAUCACCCGUUCCCUUCCCGAACACGGCAGUUAAGACCCGCAGAGCCGAUGGUACUGCCCGUUAGGCGGGCGGAAGAGUAGGUCGCCGCCGAUC
RNAcentral lists this ribosomal RNA (115 nucleotides) under Candidatus Adiutrix sp. The record is from RNAcentral. Lineage: Bacteria; Pseudomonadati; Thermodesulfobacteriota; Desulfarculia; Candidatus Adiutricales; Candidatus Adiutricaceae.